Oncorhynchus tshawytscha (Chinook salmon) is the source of this 590-nucleotide long non-coding RNA. The record is from Ensembl. NCBI's taxonomy places the organism in Eukaryota, Metazoa, Chordata, Actinopteri, Salmoniformes, Salmonidae.
CUGCAGGUCUCUGUGUGUUAUGAUAAAGACUAGUCUGUACUGCAGGUCUCUGUGUGUUAUGAUAAAGACUAGUCUGUACUACAGGUCUCUGUGUGUUAUGAUAAAGACACUAGUCUGUAUUGCAGGUCUCUGUGUGUUAUGAUAAAGACACUAGUCUGUACUGCAGGUCUCUGUGUGUUAUGAUAAAGACACUAGUCUGUACUGCAGGUCUCUGUGUGUUAUGAUAAAGACUAGUCUGUACUGCAGGUCCCUGUGUGUUAUGAUAAAGACACUAGUCUGUACUGCAGGUCUCUGUGUGUUAUGAUAAAGACACUAGUCUGUACUGCAGGUCCCUGUGUGAUAUGAUAAAGACACUAGUCUGUACUGCAGGUCUCUGUGUGUUAUGAUAAAGACUAGUCUGUACUGCAGGUCUCUGUGUGAUAUGAUAAAGCCACUGGUCUGUACUGCAGGUCUCUGUGUGAUAUGAUAAAGACUAGUCUGUACUGCAGGUCUCUGUGUGAUAUGAUAAAGCCACUAGUCUGUACUGCAGGUCUCUGUGUGAUAUGAUAAAGACUAGUCUGUACUGCAGGUCUCUGUGUGAUAUGAUAAAG